This 253-nucleotide ribosomal RNA is filed under the name uncultured bacterium. RNAcentral's name for it is "partial 16S ribosomal RNA". It matches the Rfam family "Bacterial small subunit ribosomal RNA", at positions 524 to 776 of the family's 1533-position model. The record is from RNAcentral.
UACGUAGGUGGCAAGCGUUGUCCGGAAUUAUUGGGCGUAAAGCGCUCGCCGGCUGGCCUUUAAGUCUGAUGUGAAAGCCCACGGCUCAACCGUGGAGGGUCAUUGGAAACUGGGGAACUUGAGUGCAGGAGAGAAGAGUGGAAUUCCACGUGUAGCGGUGAAAUGCGUAGAGAUGUGGAGGAACACCAGUGGCGAAGGCGACUCUUUGGCCUGUAACUGACACUGAGGCGCGAAAGCGUGGGGAGCAAGCAGG